RNAcentral lists this small RNA (618 nucleotides) under Pan troglodytes (chimpanzee). RNAcentral describes it as "processed transcript". Lineage: Eukaryota; Metazoa; Chordata; Mammalia; Primates; Hominidae. The record is from RNAcentral.
GGCGGCGGCGGCAGCCGGGGAGGUUCACAAUAAAGGUGCUAAGAAAGAGAAUGUAAGACAGGAAAAUAAUUAAAUAUUCUUACCGAGUGUCUUCAAUAGGCCGUGUUUAAGAGGCGUCUUGCACUCCCUGUUGCCAGUGGCUGGAACACAAUGGAUCACACAGGGGCGAUAGACACCGAGGAUGAAGUGGGACCUUUAGCCCAUCUUGCUCCAAGUCCUCAGAGUGAAGCUGUGGCUCAUGAAUUCCAGGAACUCUCCUUGCAGUCCAGUCAAAACUUACCCCCUCUGAACGAAAGGAAAAAUGGAAGUGUAGUCUUUUGGGAGUCAGGACUUCAGUCUCCUCUGCUGACUCAGUCUGUGAGCAUGGUUAAAUUUUUGAUAUAUGGCCUCUGCGUUUAAUGAAGACAUAACAAGAAAAGCAAAAAGUCUGAUUCACGGCUUGCCUUUGGUUCUCGUAGUCUAAGUUUAAAAACUGACAAGUGUUACAGUUGGUCAGCACUCUGCAGAUUGGCGAUUCAUAGCUACAAAAUAGAAGACCGUCUUUGACAGAAGCCUUGAUCCUGACAUAGCAGUUAAGAAGAAUGUUGCUUGGACUGCUUGAUCAAACCACUGCCACGU